This 279-nucleotide unclassified non-coding RNA is filed under the name Hevea brasiliensis (rubber tree). The record is from RNAcentral. Lineage: Eukaryota; Viridiplantae; Streptophyta; Magnoliopsida; Malpighiales; Euphorbiaceae.
AUCAAUCACAUGAUUUUUUCAUAAAUUAUAUCCCAUGAAUUGAGAGAAAAUCUCAUCAAUUCCAACACUCUUCCUUGAUGAGAUUUUUACUGAAAUUAUUUAUCCAUCAUCAAGCUUCCUUUUUUUAAAAUAAAUGAAUAAAUAAACAGCUACUAUUUAAAGAUGGAUAAUACUCCAAUAAGAUUUAUGAAGAAAGAAUUUGGGAGAAAAUUUGCUUUUGGGACUCAAACCCAAAGUUGAAUAAGAAGAAUAUAGAAGAAAAAUAACUUGGGACUAAAA